AAUCCACAAAUCUGAGAAACUCUGUAAUGGGGUCAUCCCACAGUAACAGCAGGGAAGGACCCCAGAUACAGACAAAGAGGUCAAGGAAAAGAUGCCACCUACUGAUGACUGAAGCUACCAACCUGAAGAACUCUACAAUAGGAGGUGCAUCUACAUAACUGAGAAACUUCACAUUAGGGAGCCUUGUGUAUCUAUAAAACUGCGAAACACCAUAAUAGGGGACCUUGUGAGUGUACAAAUCUAAGAAACUCUACAACAGGGGGCCUUGUGAGUCUACAAAACUGAGAAACUCCAAUAUAGGGGGGGUUUGUAAUCUACAAAACUGAGAAACUCCAGAAGA
This is a long non-coding RNA of Erpetoichthys calabaricus (reedfish), 340 nucleotides long. RefSeq lists it as uncharacterized. NCBI's taxonomy places the organism in Eukaryota, Metazoa, Chordata, Cladistia, Polypteriformes, Polypteridae. The transcript has 3 exons. The record is from RefSeq and is a predicted model, not a curated record.